Molecule: ribosomal RNA, 253 nt
Filed under: uncultured bacterium
Lineage: Bacteria
Description: partial 16S ribosomal RNA
Rfam family: Bacterial small subunit ribosomal RNA
Source: RNAcentral
UACAGAGGUCCCAAGCGUUGUUCGGAUUCACUGGGCGUAAAGGGUGCGUAGGUGGCGUGGUAAGUUUGAUGUGAAAGCUCAGGGCUUAACCCUGAAAUGGCAUUGAAUACUACUGUGCUGGAGGUUUGGAGGGGGGACUGGAAUUCUUGGUGUAGCAGUGAAAUGCGUAGAUAUCAAGAGGAACACCAGUGGCGAAGGCGGUUCUCUGGGACGGUACUGACGCUGAGACGCGAAAGCGUGGGGAGCGAACAGG